GUCCACGCCCUAAACGAUGUCGACUAGGUGUUGGGGAAGGAGACUUCCUUAGUACCGCAGCUAACGCGUGAAGUCGACCGCCUGGGGAGUACGGUCGCAAGAUUAAAACUCAAAGGAAUUGACGGGGACCCGCACAAGCGGUGGAUGAUGUGGAUUAAUUCGAUGCAACGCGAAAACCUUACCUACCCUUGACAUGCCAGGAAGUCUGCUGAGAGGUGGAUGUGCCCGAAAGGGAACCUGGACACAGGUGCUGCAUGGCUGUCGU
RNAcentral lists this ribosomal RNA (265 nucleotides) under uncultured bacterium. RNAcentral's name for it is "partial 16S ribosomal RNA". It matches the Rfam family "Bacterial small subunit ribosomal RNA", at positions 793 to 1055 of the family's 1533-position model. The record is from RNAcentral.